CAUCGCAAGUGGCAACUUUUAAUUUUUCUAUUAUAAUAACUCCACAACAUCUUCAAUUCUUCCUCAUUAAAAUAAAAAUAUAUGCCCACAAUCCAUUGCUAAGACAGUGGUUAAGAUUCAAUUGCAUGGACUAGGCAUGCACUAAAUUUAAAAAUAGUUCUACUCUUCGUAUGCAAAGCAAAGGUAAAAGUACAACUACAGACACUCAACACUGGUAAUUAUGGGACUCAAAAAUUAAUUCUCCCAAGUUAUUAAACUGCCUUAGGCCUGAUCUCAAUCCCCUGAACGAUGAGUCCACUCUUUUUCAUCGUUUACUUCCAUGGCACUCAUCUCUAGUACUUCACCAUCAUUUCCACACCGGUUGAAAUAUUCACCCAACUCAAUUUCUAGCCACCCAUCACUUCUCCUAUACGGACGCCGCAUACUUAGCAUGUGACUCCGCCUACGACUCCGCCUAACGGACUGCUGCUGUACUAAUUCUUUCACCUCCAGAUAUGCCAACUGAAACCUCUGUUGGAUGAAAGAUAAAACCUGUUGCAUCUGUCCGCAUCUUAAAUACUAGAUAAGCUACAUAGUAUGCAAGUGGGGAUAGCAUGGAAGUAUCAAUCUUGCCUCGAAUUUCAAGCAACCACACGAACUUAAGCUCAGCCACCUCUGUGAAUCUGGAGUAUGGUACAAUUUUCCACAUCCAACACUGAGGAUUACCACCCCAUGCAAUCAUGAGACCUCUUGCAGCAAGCAUAUAACAUUUCUUGCCAGUACUCUUGUCCAAAGAAAAGCUCUAUUAAGGGGCAUUUGCAUUGUCAAGGCAAUUAAUUAAAUGGAUAAUAAGAAAACAAUACACAUAUAACUAUUCUAGUUUCUUGAUUAGUCCAUAACCAUAGAGAUCAAGCCACUUCAACUCCACUUGGAUUCUGCAUAUGUUGAAAUCAAAGUUAUCCCCUCAUUCAUUACAAUCAAUUCAAUUAAUUUCUGUUUACUUCUUAUAGUUUCCCCAUUCUAUUUACAACUUUUAGUUUUUUUAGAAUUUUGGAAAAAUUUUCGAAGCCAUAUGGAUAUAUUUAUUGACGGACUCUUUAAGGGAUUUUUUUGACGCAUGACAUAUAUAUCGUGACCAGCAAUCACAGGACUUGUUAGCUCUGCAUUAUCAACAUUCAACAAUGUUCAGAUCCAAUAACAAAUAAAGAAUUAGAGUGCAUUCUACUGUGAACAGGAGAUUGGAUCGACUAUAUACCUUCUUGGCAUCAUCCAUAAGGACUGGAUUAUUGCACAAACUGAAAAAAGAGCUCUUUCUUUGAAGAGAAUGAUAGAAAUGAGAUGAUUUCAUCAAAAUCCGAAGGCAACAAUUUCUCCCAGAGUCAGAAUUGGCGGCUGAUCGGAAUGUUUUAGAAACCAGAGCCAAUCUGCAAGCGUCGAGAGGAGUCGUGAACGAUAGUAUGUUGGCUAUGCAUCCCUGUGGCAAGUCCUCCAAGUCAACUCCUGCAACUUCUCCUUUCCUUGACUUCGGCUUUAUCUUCUCGCUUGCUAGAUUUUCUAUGGGCCUAUGCCACAAUAUGAGGUUUUGUACAUCAAAGCCUCGAAGGAAA
This 1586-nucleotide unclassified non-coding RNA is filed under the name Hevea brasiliensis (rubber tree). Lineage: Eukaryota; Viridiplantae; Streptophyta; Magnoliopsida; Malpighiales; Euphorbiaceae. The record is from RNAcentral.